This is a long non-coding RNA of Amblyraja radiata (thorny skate), 127 nucleotides long. RefSeq lists it as uncharacterized. NCBI's taxonomy places the organism in Eukaryota, Metazoa, Chordata, Chondrichthyes, Rajiformes, Rajidae. The record is from RefSeq and is a predicted model, not a curated record. The transcript is spliced from 3 exons.
UAAAAAGUAAGAGCUUUUUCUUUCCCAGGGUGAAAGUGUCAGACUAGAGGGUAUAGCAUUAAAAUGAGAGGGACAAAGUUUUAAGGAGAUAUGCGGGGCAAGUUUUUUUUGAAACACAGAGGUUUGU